Molecule: transfer RNA, 61 nt
Filed under: Amycolatopsis balhimycina DSM 5908
Lineage: Bacteria; Bacillati; Actinomycetota; Actinomycetes; Pseudonocardiales; Pseudonocardiaceae
Description: tRNA-Met
Rfam family: tRNA
About the family: Transfer RNA (tRNA) molecules are approximately 80 nucleotides in length. Their secondary structure includes four short double-helical elements and three loops (D, anti-codon, and T loops).
Source: RNAcentral
GUAGCUCAGUUGGUUAGAGCAGGGGACUCAUAAUCCCUUGGCCGCGGGUUCGAGCCCCGCC